GUAACCUGCAGGGGAGGGGAAACAGAGCUGACCCAAACUGGAUAGAGGCCUGUGCUUGCAGAAGAUGUUCAGGCUGAGAUGAUGCUGGGAAGAUGGUCACGGUGUUGCAGGGUCAUCACUACGACAAUUCCCGUGGAGGUGGUCGGAGCAACUGAUGGCGGCUGCGGUUGGAGCGGUCUGCGAUGGCUCGCUGAUGGCUGUCAGAGUUGACAGUGGUGGUGCAGCAGCCGACGGCGGCGACGGCAACGCGGCGGCGCGGCAACGACUAGCAGCGGCAAGCGGCGGUACGGAAGGGCGGGGGCGGCGCGCGGCGCGGUGGUGCAAGCAGCAGAGAUGGCAGCGGCGGUGGGACAAGGGCGGGGGCGCAGAGAGCAGUGGAAGGCCGAGGGAAAUGGUGGUGGUGGGACAGUGUGGGAAGUGGUGGCGGGUACCAAAUAGCCGGUGACGUUUGGUGGAGCCGCAGCUGUUGCGACAGAGGGAAGAAACGGGGUGGCGCGGUGGUGCAAAGAGAAGAUGGUGUUGGCAGCGGUGACGGCGGGGAGCUGGCGUGGGGC
RNAcentral lists this long non-coding RNA (554 nucleotides) under Phoenix dactylifera (date palm). RNAcentral's name for it is "long non-coding RNA (PDAC_LNC019894)". Lineage: Eukaryota; Viridiplantae; Streptophyta; Magnoliopsida; Arecales; Arecaceae. The record is from RNAcentral.